Molecule: ribosomal RNA, 495 nt
Filed under: uncultured bacterium
Lineage: Bacteria
Description: partial 16S ribosomal RNA
Rfam family: Bacterial small subunit ribosomal RNA
Source: RNAcentral
GACGAACGCUGGCGGCGUGCCUAAUACAUGCAAGUAGAACGCUGAAGGAGGAGCUUGCUCUUCUGGAUGAGUUGCGAACGCGUGAGUAACGCGUAGGUAACCUGCCUGGUAGCGGGGGAUAACUAUUGGAAACGAUAGCUAAUACCGCAUAACAGUAGAUGUUGCAUGACAUUUGCUUAAAAGGUGCAAUUGCACCACUACCAGAUGGACCUGCGUUGUAUUAGCUAGUUGGUGGGGUAACGGCUCACCAAGGCGACGAUACAUAGCCGACCUGAGAGGGUGAUCGGCCACACUGGGACUGAGACACGGCCCAGACUCCUACGGGAGGCAGCAGUAGGGAAUCUUCGGCAAUGGACGGAAGUCUGACCGAGCAACGCCGCGUGAGUGAAGAAGGGUUUCGGAUCGUAAAGCUCUGUUGUAAGAGAAGAGCGAGUGUGAGAGUGGAAAGUUCACACUGUGACGGUAGCUUACCAGAAAGGGACGGCUAACUACGUG